GGCUUAUUGUUUAUUUAUAUUAAGUUUUACCUGCUCAAUGAUAUUUUAUAUAUUAAAUAGCCGCAGUAUAUUGACUGUGCAAAGGUAGCAUAAUCAUUUGUCUUUUAAUUGGAGACUUGUAUGAAUGGUUUGAUGAAAUAUUUCCUUUCUUUAUACAAAAUUAAAAAAUUUAAUAUUUUAGUUAAAAAGCUAAAAUACUUUUAAGGGACGAGAAGACCCUAUAGAAUUUUAUAUUUUUGGAUUUAAUUUAUAUUAGGUUAUUUUUGAAUUUUAUUUUUAAAAGUAUUUUGUUGGGGUGACAGGGAAAUUUUCUUAACUUUCUUUACUUAUAUUUUAUUAAUAUAUAUAUUUAUGAUCCUAUUUUAUGGAUAUUUAAGAUUAAAUUACCUUAGGGAUAACAGCGUAAUUUCUUUGGAGAGUUCUUAUUGAUAAAGGAGUUUGCGACCUCGAUGUUGGAUUAAAAUUGGUAUUAGGUGCAGAAGCUUAAUUUACUAGGUCUGUUCGACCUUUAAAAUUUUACA
RNAcentral lists this ribosomal RNA (521 nucleotides) under Acanthosoma haemorrhoidale angulatum. RNAcentral describes it as "partial 16S rRNA". The stretch from base 394 to 521 matches the Rfam family "Bacterial large subunit ribosomal RNA", at positions 2473 to 2600 of the family's 2925-position model. RNAcentral also lists the same sequence under 1 other name. Lineage: Eukaryota; Metazoa; Arthropoda; Insecta; Hemiptera; Acanthosomatidae. The record is from RNAcentral.